ACUUCUUAAGAAUCAUCAUUGU
This 22-nucleotide small nuclear RNA is filed under the name Arabidopsis thaliana (thale cress). RNAcentral describes it as "snRNA_12034". Lineage: Eukaryota; Viridiplantae; Streptophyta; Magnoliopsida; Brassicales; Brassicaceae. The record is from RNAcentral.